Quercus lobata is the source of this 2335-nucleotide RNA transcript. It is a transcript of the gene named long chain acyl-CoA synthetase 1-like, with no coding region annotated. NCBI's taxonomy places the organism in Eukaryota, Viridiplantae, Streptophyta, Magnoliopsida, Fagales, Fagaceae. The transcript is spliced from 3 exons. The record is from RefSeq and is a predicted model, not a curated record.
UGUCAUAAAUGCAAAGUACAGAUGCAUCAAACACCAUUACUUUCCAUCUGUUACAACUAACUCAUUAACAACCAUGCCUUUCUUUUCUUCUUUUUAAAUUCAAUUCCAUUUCCCCAUAUCUGGACCAAUAGAAAAUCAUGUUUCUAACCAUUUCCGUAUGCUAUUUAUUGACCGUUGCCUAAAUGAUUUAGUGGUGCCAUAAAUUUUCUAGACUUUUGAAUCUAUAAGUCUAUGUGCUAAUGCUUCUCUUGUCCAGGUUUCACAAUUUGGAAAAAAAUGAAGAUUUUUUCAGCUAAGGUUGAAGAGGGAAGGGAAGGCCUAGAUGAGAAGCCAGCAGUUGGUCCCGUGUAUUGUAAUUUACUCUCCAAGAAUGAGUUUCCUCCACCUGAUCCCAAUAUUAGUACAGCUUGGGAUGUUUUCAGGGCCAGGUGCUAUCAAUUUUAUUCUCGAUCAUGCAGAGGUUGAUUUUGUUUUUGUCCAGGAUAAAAAAGUGAAAGAAGUAAGAACUUUAAAAAAAUUUGCUUUGUGAUAAAAUGAUAUGCUUAAUCACAUAAGCUCACAUUUCAAAAGCAAUGGAUGUUUUGAUUGGACAAAUGUUCUUGUGUUUGCAUCUACUAAAUCCUGAUUGUAAAUCUGCUCAACAACUGAAAAGUAAGAAUGAUUAAAUAACUGCAGUCUGCUCCAUGUUAAGGCUUUCUACUGAGUUUGGUUGUGGUUGCAGUUAUGGUGUGCUUCACUUCCUUAACAGAGGAAGAGAAGAAUAAGGCAACUGAAAUUAGGAUAAAACCAUAUUCAUGGAAUGAGUUCUUUCAUAUGGUCAGUUUCCCAUUGUCUUGAUUGAAUAUUUUGUUCAAUAAACUAAUCUGCGUUCAAUGUAAAUAAACAUAGAACAUGUGUUUUCUUUCUCUUCAGUAGUAACUUUUCCUUAAAGAGAAAAGAGUACUUGUACAUCUUCUACUAGAUUAGAACUAGUAUUUGCGAUUCAUUGUGCUCUGCUCUAUAUGUUUUGACGCUAUUUUCUAUCUUCCUGGAAUUUGUCUUAGUAUAUCUCUAGUUGAAGAUGUUAAAUAAAUCUAUGCUAUGGAUCUCUCUGACAGCAAUGUGAGCAUUGUGUGUUUGGGCCCAUCUUAUAUGCAAAUGUAAGUGGAAUUCAUGCUAUGUGUUGUCAUGUCCCAUAUAUCCAUUUUGCAUAAAAAGUGGAUUCAUUUUCCCCCCAAAAAUUUGUAAGAUAUAUGGGUUACUUCUCACCAAAGCUUAGGUUAACUAACUUUAAAAUGUCUCAUUCUCACUGACAACAUAUUACUGUCAAUUUGCAUGCUUUCUUCUGUUUUGGUUGAUCUUAAGAUUUUAUUGUUCAUCAGGGAAAAGAAACCCCGUCAGAUUUGUCCACCUCAGUCUUUCCACAUUUGCACAAUUAUGUACACAAGUGGCACGAGUGGAGAUCCUAAAGGUGUUGUGUUAACACAUGAGAACAUUGCCUCUUUUAUAAGACGGAUGGAUCUAUUUAUGGCACAAUUUGAAGACAAGAUGAAUGAAGAUGAUGUGUAUCUUUCUUUCUUGCCCCUGGCUCAUAUCCUUGAUCUCAUGGUUGAAGAGUAUAAUGGUGCUUCUGUUGGCUACUAUCAUGGGUUAUGCUGCUGAAACUACUUCAUCACUUGUUUGAAGUUUGGGCCUCAUUUUUUUAUUUCUUUCAUCUGUAUGGUAUACAUGAGAAAAUAAAGAGAGAGAAGGGGGGGGGGGGAAUGAUGUGUACACACACACACACUAAUUGUUCUCAUGCUUGAUUGAUGAUGCAGUGACAUAGGACAAAUUGAGGAAUUUGUCUUCUUGUAAUUGUGGUGGAUUAAAGAGUAGUAGGAUUUGUGGAAAUAAGAUUUAGAGUUGUUGAAGAAAGGGUUAUGGGGUUGUGUUAGGAAGUAGAAGGGGAUUUGAUAGCUGUUUGGCAGAGGAAAGUAAGAGUGGGUCUAUAGCAGGGAGUUGUGUGUAUAGCAGGAAGUUGAGAAAGCAGGGGAAAAAAUAUUUAAAAAAAAAAAAAAACCUAUAGCCGCGUUUCUUAAAACGCAGCUAUAGACUCUUACUCAGCUGCUUGAAGCAACCUAUAGCCGCGUUGAUAACCGCAGCUCAAAGCUGUCCUGGAGCCGCGUUUCUAAUAAACGCGGCUAUAGGUUGGGGUCUACUGCUGCGUUUCCAAAAACGCGGCUAUAGGUAUGGUUUUAGCCGCGGUUUCAAAAAACGCAGCUAUAGGCUUUGAGCUGCGGACUUUAGGCCGCGUUUAUAAACGCGGCCAUAGGAAACGCGGCUAAAAGCCUAUAGCCGCGUUUUUGGGGUCUUAAGC